This 108-nucleotide small nuclear RNA is filed under the name Myotis davidii. The record is from RNAcentral. Lineage: Eukaryota; Metazoa; Chordata; Mammalia; Chiroptera; Vespertilionidae.
GUGCUCGCUUGGGCAGCACAUAUACUAAAAAUUGGAAUGAUACAGAGAAAAUUAGCAUGGCCCCUGCGCAAGAAUGACAUGCAAAUUCAUGAAGCGUUCCAUAUUUUA